RNAcentral lists this ribosomal RNA (253 nucleotides) under uncultured bacterium. RNAcentral's name for it is "partial 16S ribosomal RNA". It matches the Rfam family "Bacterial small subunit ribosomal RNA", at positions 524 to 776 of the family's 1533-position model. The record is from RNAcentral.
UACAUAGGGUGCAAGCGUUAAUCGGAAUUACUGGGCGUAAAGCGUGCGCAGGCGGCUUUGCAAGACAGAUGUGAAAUCCCCGGGCUUAACCUGGGAACUGCAUUUGUGACUGCAUGGCUGGAGUGCGGCAGAGGGGGAUGGAAUUCCGCGUGUAGCAGUGAAAUGCGUAGAUAUGCGGAGGAACACCGAUGGCGAAGGCAAUCCCCUGGGCCUGCACUGACGCUCAUGCACGAAAGCGUGGGGAGCAAACAGG